This 234-nucleotide ribosomal RNA is filed under the name Clostridium botulinum. RNAcentral's name for it is "partial 16S ribosomal RNA". It matches the Rfam family "Bacterial small subunit ribosomal RNA", at positions 74 to 308 of the family's 1533-position model. Lineage: Bacteria; Bacillati; Bacillota; Clostridia; Eubacteriales; Clostridiaceae. The record is from RNAcentral.
CUUCCUUCGGGAAGUGGAUUAGCGGCGGACGGGUGAGUAACACGUGGGUAACCUGCCUCAAAGUGGGGGAUAGCCUUCCGAAAGGAAGAUUAAUACCGCAUAAUAUGAGAGAAUCGCAUGAUUUUCUUAUCAAAGAUUUAUUGCUUUGAGAUGGACCCGCGGCGCAUUAGCUAGUUGGUAAGGUAACGGCUUACCAAGGCAACGAUGCGUAGCCGACCUGAGAGGGUGAUCGGC